UACGAAGGGGGGCUAGCGUUGCUCGGAAUGACUGGGCGUAAAGGGCGCGUAGGCGGAUGGCACAGUCAGAUGUGAAAUUCCCGGGCUUAACCUGGGGGCUGCAUUUGAUACGUGUUGUCUUGAGUUCGGAAGAGGGUCGUGGAAUUCCCAGUGUAGAGGUGAAAUUCGUAGAUAUUCGCAAGAACACCAGUGGCGAAGGCGGCUCACUGGCCCGGUACUGACGCUGAGGUGCGAAAGCGUGGGGAGCAACAG
RNAcentral lists this ribosomal RNA (252 nucleotides) under uncultured bacterium. RNAcentral describes it as "partial 16S ribosomal RNA". It matches the Rfam family "Bacterial small subunit ribosomal RNA", at positions 524 to 774 of the family's 1533-position model. The record is from RNAcentral.